Herpailurus yagouaroundi (jaguarundi) is the source of this 2274-nucleotide long non-coding RNA. RefSeq lists it as uncharacterized. The record is from RefSeq and is a predicted model, not a curated record. NCBI's taxonomy places the organism in Eukaryota, Metazoa, Chordata, Mammalia, Carnivora, Felidae. The transcript is spliced from 5 exons.
CCCGGCCCCCCGAUCCUGGAGCCGCUGACCCGCCGAGUGACCUCGGGCCAGUCACGGCACCUCUCCGCGCCUCGCCUUCCCGCUCUGCAAAGUGGGGGCAAUGUUAUUUGGCCGACUCAAUGGGACUGCUUGUAAAGCUCUCGGCACGGGGCCUGGCAUCCAGUAGGCGCUCCAGAACCGCGGCUAUUUUUAUUAUUAAUUAAGGAGUAACGAAGGUGACAGCUGUGUAAACUGUAAAGCGCUGCGCCUGAACGAACGGGUAUUAUUAGCACCCGCCCCCGCCCCAGCUACUCCCUCCAAGACAACAAACUUGAGCCUUUGUGGGCGGGACGCCGAACCGGGAGCUCCCCUUAUCGGGUACGUUCAGACACCCCCGCUCAGACGCCCGCCCUUGGCGGGAGGGUGGGGGGAACACGGUCGCCGGAAAGGGGGCGGGGCCCAUGGAGGGUCUGGCCCGCCCCUUCCCCCCAAAAAAGACCUAGCCGGUGGCAGCGUCUCCCGGGAGUCCGCUUCCUGCCCCGCCCCUCCGCCCCUUGGCUCCUUAAAGGCGCAGGCCUCCAUCCUGGCUCCCACUGCUGCCAACUCCUGAGCCACCGUCGGCCGAUCCCCUUUAACCUGGGAGAGAACUUUCACUUUGCUCAAUUGAACCUGUGCCUGGGUCAGUCCCUACAAGCUCCUUCCUCUAUUUCCAAUAAGCACUGGUUUAACCCAGCUGGACCAAAGCUUGGGCUACGGAAUGGGCUCUGUGGGGGCUUUCCCGACUAGGUAAAUAUAGUGACUAAGAGACACCCCCCCACACACACCCAACAGUGUCUCUAGACCCCUCCAGGAACUCCAUAAGUCAUCCUCCAAACUGCCCGACUUUUCCCGUCACUCAGCUCUAGAAAUGAGGGAAGAAAAAAAGGAGACAUGGAGUCUCAAUAGAGUUGAAACCAACUGGCAUCCGCUUGUAUAGAGUGAGUGAAUGUGCAGCAAUCGUGCCCCUGGGUCACAGGCGUAAGAGCCCUUGUCCUCUACUCUGACGCCUCAUGGACUGGCACGUGAUGAAGAUCCUGGGAUGCGUCCACCUCUUGGUAUUAUGAAGAAUGCUAUUACGAACAUGGAUGCACAAAUAUCUUUUGAGGCCCUUGCUUUCAAUUCUUUCAUAUAUACAGAUAUGGACGAGCUGGAUCAUAUGGCUCCUCUCUGGACGUGCUUCCUGAUCUGUGUAACGCGGAAACCCAACAACCAAGGAGCUGAGGUGCUGGCAUUGUACUGGCGACACUGGGCACACAGGAUGUGGUAAGCCAGUAGUUGCCCGCAUUAGUGCAAACUCAAAGUCUCUCAGGUGGCCUUCCUGCCUCCACCAUGGAAAGGGUUUGAUGCUUCUAUCUCUCGCUGCCCUCUUCCUGAGUCAGCACCUCCCCACCUCGGAUCACCCCUCUGCCCACCUGCUCAUGCAGCUCGUCUUCUGGGCUUGGCUUUUCCUUGUGGUGCUUGGCAUCCAUACAGACAUUGAGAAGCUCAGUCCUGGGCCGGGCUGCCCACACUGCGGCCACCCCCGCCAGAAGGAGCAGCAACUCUGUUGUCACCAGCUGGGCCAUGUCAGUGUCUGAAGGAAGACCUGUGGUCAGUGGCACCAAGAAAAGCAGAGGUGGGGCCUCCAGGUCAGAUUUUGACACCAAAUGACUUUGUGCAAACUUUGACAAUAACCUCAGUUUUGGAGCUCCAGAUAAGCCGCAGACCUAAGUUUAAAACAAGACAACAAAACCCAGCCCCAGUUCCAGCCCUUCCCAGCCUCAUCAUUUGGCCUCUCCCGGAGAUCCUGCGCCUCGGGGAAUGUCCCAGGGCACAGAGGGCUGUGGGCAGCCAGCUGGACAGCCUCCGGGGCCUUGGGGAGGUUCCUGCCCCCGACCACAGAGCUGGCCUCCCUUUGGCCUUCGUAGCACCUGAAUCCUCUGAAUUCAGGCACUGAACCUUGGGAGGGAACUGACCGUUCCUUCACCCCACCGGUCACCAGGCGCCUGGGCUCUCCUAAAGUUUAGCAUUCGUUUCCCAUGGCUCCCAAAGCGCACACGCCCCUCUGCUCAAAGUUGCCUUGUCUCCACACUGCCUUGCCCUCCCCGCCCUGUCCUGUGGAGCUCAGGCAGCUUCCUUGGCCUCCUGGACGGGACCUGAGCUGGGUGGCCUCCAGGCUGACUGCCUGGCAGGGCUUGGGAAACCUGGAAUUGAAUUCCCACCUCCCCUCUCCUCCUCGCCCCUCACCUUUCCACAAUCCAAUAUUCUGCUGCUCUA